UUUAUUUGCUAACAGCCGUUAACCACCGAAAAAGCCUCCCGCCGCUUCUCAAUAAAGCUAUAACCACCACUUUGCCGCCGUGGAAAAUUAACCUUCGGAAAUCCAAAAAUGGCAUCAUCCAGUGCGCUCUCGCAGCUCAACAAUUUGAAUUCACGAGUCGUUAUCUCUACUGUCCAUGAAAAUGCAUUUCGCAGAAGAAAUGCAAGAUUUCGAAUGGCAGCGUCAAGUAAUAGUGGAAGUGGAGAAGUGGCAGUGGCAUUCGAGGAGGGACAGUUGGAAAGACCUAAAUGGAUUGGUGAAACCCCAGUUUCUCGCUUUGUUGGAGCUCUCAUUUCCUUCAAACCUUUAUAUUCCGUACUCAAACUCGGUGCAAGACAAGUCCUCAUCAGGUCAAUUUAUACUGCAUUGGGCUAGCGUUUAUGUGUCAUGUGUGUGUGUGUGUGUGUCCCCCCCCCCCCGGAUUUUUAAGAUUAUGGGUUUGAAUUAUUUGGUGUUGAUUUCAUUUUGAUGAAAAAAAAAUGAAAUUUGGAUUUGGGUUGGAACAGUACAGCUGAGAAAACCAACAUUCCGUGGAGGGAAAUGACAAAGGAGGUUUUGGAAUCGGAUGUGUACCGGAAGCUGGAGACCAUUGAGGACGGCUCAAUUGUGUAUCCUGAUUGUAAUUUUUUAAAUUUUUAAAUUUUUCUUUAUUCGUGUUUUCACAGUUCUAUUGGAUUCAAGUAAAUAGAUUUCAUUCACAUGAUCAUAUUCAAGUUUAGUAAUGGAUAAUGCCAUAAUGGACUUCUCUAUCUUUUCAUGUAUUGAUAUCAGAAUUUUAUCUCCUGAAUGUGGUUAUAUUUCUUUUCUUUUCU
This 851-nucleotide long non-coding RNA is filed under the name Olea europaea subsp. europaea. The record is from RNAcentral. Lineage: Eukaryota; Viridiplantae; Streptophyta; Magnoliopsida; Lamiales; Oleaceae.